Molecule: long non-coding RNA, 1341 nt
Organism: Branchiostoma floridae (Florida lancelet)
Lineage: Eukaryota; Metazoa; Chordata; Leptocardii; Amphioxiformes; Branchiostomatidae
Exons: 2
Source: RefSeq, a predicted model, not a curated record
CGAACUAUGUGAUCUCUCCUACCCAAACCCCCCCUAUUUUAGAAGUAGAUUAGUCCUGUAACCUCCUGUGACCUCAUUCUGGUGCUAGAAUCCUGGAGAAAGGACACAAUAAACCAUGUGCUCCUCAAAAAUGUCCAGUGUGCGGCUGUUAUUUGCAAUUCUUAAAUAGCCUUACCACCGGCUCAUAACAAAUGGCGUCACGGACACGGAGAGGAAUUGUGAUGACAGUCAGCACGGUAUAGAGGAACAGAACUGUAUCCAACGCUCCAAAACUUACAGCAGAGCUGAGACUCUUCCACCAUAUGCUACGCCGCAGUGGGAGGGCGAGAUCGAUUGGAACACUCUGUCACUAUACUCCAUGGACAAACCUCCAGCAGUAUUAUACCCUACAUUUACUGGAUGCAGUCAACUAGGAGUACCAGCGUUUAAAAACGAGGAAGAGGGAAUGAACUGUACCCUGGCGGAAAACUCUACUGUCAGAACGGCUGAGAAGUGAGCUCCGAACUCCAUCUUGUAGAGCCAGGCUCCUUCUUUCAACACAGCACUGUAUUUCCAGUCUUCCAUUUUGCCGUCAGAGCGGGGCGUUCAGCUUGAUUGCUUCUAAAGUCCGGGUGGCACCGAAGGUCAAUCCCAUCUCAAGAGAGAAGCCUUUAGAAAGUGAACUUCUGCUGUUACAUUUCCCGUGCGGGUAAUUCUUAUGGAGGGAGAGAAAGCAGGCAUGUGUUCAGGUCUUAGAGUCUACUCCUGGAGCGGUAAAGCAAGCUUCCAGUCGUCGGGUAGAACAGAAGCGAAGGAACGUUCUGGAAUCUUUCAUCGUGCAUGCUGUGGACUCCCCAGAAAAAUUCAACACAUAUCCAGCCAGCAAAACCACACAAAGGAUUUACCGAACUGUCGCAGGGACAUUUCAAACAUUGACUGACUUCUACAGUAUCCAGUAAGAUUUACACCCCAGUUUUGAUUUGUAUUGCUUCGAUCUUUGCUUUAUUUGCACAUUUAUUCUGAAUUCCUUUUCAACCCACAUGCCACGUGGACACAAGACAUGCCCAGUCUUGCUCCAGCACAUGUGGUAGCCAUUAUGCUAGCCUUGGGUGGGCCACCCCAAUAACAAAGGGCCCAGAGAAAAACAACUUCUAAGCUAUUCCCAGUGGUGUAUUGUACAUUCCUCACACUUCUCUGUUUACCGAAUUGUAAGGCUUACUUAACCAGUACAAAAUUGUGACUUUUAUGUGUUUCAACAAUGUAUGCAUGUAGAUAGUGCAUCAGGUGCCAAGCAUUCAGCUGGUUUUCUCUUUAAUGUCAGCCAGGGUCUGUUUCUGAAGCAUAUUAUACAUUGCAUUACAA